AUUGAACGCUGGCGGCAUGCCUUACACAUGCAAGUCGAACGGUAACAGGUCUUCGGAUGCUGACGAGUGGCGAACGGGUGAGUAAUGCAUCGGAACGUGCCUAGUAGUGGGGGAUAACUACUCGAAAGAGUGGCUAAUACCGCAUGAGAUCUACGGAUGAAAGCAGGGGAUCGCAAGACCUUGUGCUACUAGAGCGGCCGAUGGCAGAUUAGGUAGUUGGUGGGAUAAAAGCUUACCAAGCCGACGAUCUGUAGCUGGUCUGAGAGGACGAUCAGCCACAAUGGGACUGAGACACAGCCCAGACUCCGACGGGAGGCAGCAGUGGGGAAUUUUGGACAAUGGGCGAAAGCCUGAUCCAGCAAUGCCGCGUGCAGGAUGAAGGCCUUCGGGUUGUAAACUGCUUUUGUACGGAACGAAAAGCCCCGGGUUAAUACCCUGGGGUCAUGACGGUACCGUAAGAAUAAGCACCGGCUAACUACGUGCCAGCCGCCGCAGUAA
This 498-nucleotide ribosomal RNA is filed under the name uncultured bacterium. RNAcentral describes it as "partial 16S ribosomal RNA". It matches the Rfam family "Bacterial small subunit ribosomal RNA", at positions 30 to 523 of the family's 1533-position model. The record is from RNAcentral.